AUAUACGACCGUACCGCAACCGACACUGGUGCGCGAGAUGAGUAUUCUAAGGCGCUUGAGAGAACUCAGGAGAAGGAACUCGGCAAAUUGACACCGUAACUUCGGAAGAAGGUGUGCCCUAUUAGUGUGUAGUGAACAACGAAGCAUGAAUGGGUUGCAAAAAAUCGGUGGCUGCGACUGUUUAUUAAAAACACAGCACUCUGCAAACACGAAAGUGGACGUAUAGGGUGUGACGCCUGCCCGGUGCUGGAAGAUUAAAUGAUGGGGUGCAAGCUCUUGAUUGAAGUCCCAGUAAACGGCGGCCGUAACGAUAACGGUCCUAAGGUAGCGAAAUUCCUUGUCGGGUAAGUUCCGACCUGCACGAAUGGCGUAACGAUGGCCACACUGUCUCCUCCUGAGACUCAGCGAAGUUGAAAUGUUUGUGAUGAUGCAAUCUCCCCGCGGAAAGACGGAAAGACCCCAUGAACCUUUACUGUAGCUUUGUAUUGGACUUUGAACAGAUCUGUGUAGGAUAGGUGGGAGGCUUUGAAGCAGGGUCGCUAGAUCUUGUGGAGCCAACGUUGAAAUACCACCCUGGUGUGUUUGAGGUUCUAACCUAGGUCCAUUAUCUGGAUCGGGGACAGUGCAUGGUAGGCAGUUUGACUGGGGCGGUCUCCUCCCAAAGCGUAACGGAGGAGUUCGAAGGUACGCUAGUUACGGUCGGACAUCGUGACGAUAGUGCAAUGGCAUAAGCGUGCUUAACUGCGAGACUGACAAGUCGAGCAGAUGCGAAAGCAGGACAUAGUGAUCCGGUGGUUCUGUAUGGAAGGGCCAUCGCUCAACGGAUAAAAGGUACUCUGGGGAUAACAGGCUGAUACCGCCCAAGAGUUCAUAUCGACGGCGGUGUUUGGCACCUCGAUGUCGGCUCAUCUCAUCCUGGGGCUGUAGCCGGUCCCAAGGGUAUGGCUGUUCGCCAUUUAAAGAGGUACGUGAGCUGGGUUUAAAACGUCGUGAGACAGUUUGGUCCCUAUCUUCCGUGGGCGCUGCAGAUUUGAGGAAGCCUGCUCCUAGUACGAGAGGACCGGAGUGGACACACCUCUGGUGUAUCGGUUGUCACGCCAGUGGCAUUGCCGAGUAGCUAAGUGUGGAAGAGAUAACCGCUGAAAGCAUCUAAGCGGGAAACUCGUUUCAAGAUGAGAUCUGCCGGGGCCUUGAGCCCCCUAAAGAGUCGUUCAAGACCAGGACGUUGAUAGGUCAGGUGUGGAAGCUAAAAG
RNAcentral lists this ribosomal RNA (1253 nucleotides) under metagenome. Its description in RNAcentral is "bacterial LSU rRNA". It matches the Rfam family "Bacterial large subunit ribosomal RNA", at positions 1634 to 2880 of the family's 2925-position model. The record is from RNAcentral.